RNAcentral lists this long non-coding RNA (327 nucleotides) under Trifolium pratense (red clover). Its description in RNAcentral is "long non-coding RNA (TPRA_LNC007758)". The record is from RNAcentral. Lineage: Eukaryota; Viridiplantae; Streptophyta; Magnoliopsida; Fabales; Fabaceae.
ACGAACGAAGAUGAGUGCAGCGGAUUUGAAGGAUUUUUGAGUGAGAAAGAGGAAGGGAAAUAGUCUUAGGGUUUUGAGUGAGAAAGAUUUCGCGUAGGAGAGAAUGAGAAGGAAAGGGUAUAUACAUUCUAAGUUAAGGGAUUUAACUACCGUUGAAGACCAAAUCAGUAGUGAAAUCCAAUUAAAACAAAUUUCAACAUAAUUACAACAUUGCCACCGUGUCUACUUUUCACUACUGAUUUAAGAAAACCAGUAGUGAAAUCCCUUGUCUAUGAACUUUUCACUACUGGUAUUCAAAUAUCAGUAGUGGAAUCCUUUGAUCAAAUG